Molecule: ribosomal RNA, 727 nt
Filed under: Streptomyces sp.
Lineage: Bacteria; Bacillati; Actinomycetota; Actinomycetes; Kitasatosporales; Streptomycetaceae
Description: bacterial SSU rRNA
Rfam family: Bacterial small subunit ribosomal RNA
Source: RNAcentral
UCUGGGACAAGCCCUGGAAACGGGGUCUAAUACCGGAUACCACUACCGCAGGCAUCUGUGGUGGUUGAAAGCUCCGGCGGUGAAGGAUGAGCCCGCGGCCUAUCAGCUUGUUGGUGAGGUAAUGGCUCACCAAGGCGACGACGGGUAGCCGGCCUGAGAGGGCGACCGGCCACACUGGGACUGAGACACGGCCCAGACUCCUACGGGAGGCAGCAGUGGGGAAUAUUGCACAAUGGGCGAAAGCCUGAUGCAGCGACGCCGCGUGAGGGAUGACGGCCUUCGGGUUGUAAACCUCUUUCAGCAGGGAAGAAGCGCAAGUGACGGUACCUGCAGAAGAAGCGCCGGCUAACUACGUGCCAGCAGCCGCGGUAAUACGUAGGGCGCAAGCGUUGUCCGGAAUUAUUGGGCGUAAAGAGCUCGUAGGCGGCUUGUCACGUCGGGUGUGAAAGCCCGGGGCUUAACCCCGGGUCUGCAUUCGAUACGGGCUAGCUAGAGUGUGGUAGGGGAGAUCGGAAUUCCUGGUGUAGCGGUGAAAUGCGCAGAUAUCAGGAGGAACACCGGUGGCGAAGGCGGAUCUCUGGGCCAUUACUGACGCUGAGGAGCGAAAGCGUGGGGAGCGAACAGGAUUAGAUACCCUGGUAGUCCACGCCGUAAACGGUGGGAACUAGGUGUUGGCGACAUUCCACGUCGUCGGUGCCGCAGCUAACGCAUUAAGUUCCCCGCCUGG